This 246-nucleotide ribosomal RNA is filed under the name uncultured bacterium. Its description in RNAcentral is "partial 16S ribosomal RNA". It matches the Rfam family "Bacterial small subunit ribosomal RNA", at positions 526 to 771 of the family's 1533-position model. The record is from RNAcentral.
CAGAGGGUGCAAGCGUUAAUCGGAAUAACUGGGCGUAAAGGGCAUGCAGGCGGUUCAUCAAGUAGGAUGUGAAAUCCCCGGGCUCAACCUGGGAACAGCAUACUAAACUGGUGGACUAGAGUAUUGCAGGGGGAGACGGAAUUCCAGGUGUAGCGGUGGAAUGCGUAGAUAUCUGGAAGAACACCAAAGGCGAAGGCAGUCUCCUGGGCAAAUACUGACGCUCAUAUGCGAAAGCGUGGGUAGCAA